CCUACGGGUGGCAGCAGUGGGGAAUAUUGCGCAAUGGGCGAAAGCCUGACGCAGCGACGCCGCGUGAGGGAUGAAGGUCUUCGGAUCGUAAACCUCUGUCAGCAGGGGAGGACGGUCACUGUGCUAAUCAGCAGUGAAUUGACGGUACCUGCAAAGGAAGCACCGGCUAACUCCGUGCCAGCAGCCGCGGUAAUACGGAGGGGGCGGGCGUUAAUCGGAAUUACUGGGAGUAAAGCGGUCGUCGGCGGUAUGUCAAGUCAAGGGUGAAAUCCCCGCGCUCAACGUGGGAACUGCCUUUGAAACUGGCAGACUGGAGUGUGUGAGAGGAUAGUGGAAGUCCAGGUGUAGGAGUGAAAUCCGUAGAUAUCUUGAGGAACAUCAGUGGCGAAGGCGACUAUCUGGCACAUAACUGACGCUGAGGAGCGAAAGCGUGGGUAGCAAACAGGAUUAGAUACCCUAGUAGUC
Molecule: ribosomal RNA, 465 nt
Filed under: uncultured bacterium
Lineage: Bacteria
Description: partial 16S ribosomal RNA
Rfam family: Bacterial small subunit ribosomal RNA
Source: RNAcentral